RNAcentral lists this long non-coding RNA (1044 nucleotides) under Homo sapiens (human). RNAcentral's name for it is "HSALNT0118485". Lineage: Eukaryota; Metazoa; Chordata; Mammalia; Primates; Hominidae. The record is from RNAcentral.
GUCACUUUUGUCAAAUAAAGCAUGUAUUUACAAUACUCAAACAUUUAAAGUUACUGAAAAAUAUUUAACUCUUUUGGGUUUGGGGUUUAUGCUUCUCUUUAAUGUUUAUAUAAUUUAAGUUUUGACAAUAGAAAAGCUAGGCUGAAAGGGGAAACAAUCCAACUGCACACACAAAAGAGUGCCUAGAUAGAAGACGGACAGCAUAGGAGAUUGAGCAUCUGUGGAUCAGGGAACAGAGUUAUCUGCAGCUCCUCGAAGAGAAAUGAGACGUAUGGCAUGUUUGCCCUCAAACCACAAGAAGUGCCCUUAAUAUCUAAGGCUCCAGAGAAGAAAAGCAGGCUGUGAUGAGUGGGGCUUGGAGCUUGGCUUCCCCAUCAACGAGCCAGGAGAUUGGAUCCAGGAGUGAGGACACUGGAUGAGCACUUCCCACUUAGCAAGAAACCAAAUUAUCAGUUCCUCUUCCCAGCAUGUUUCAAAGGGCUAGAGAAAUUCUGAACAACACAAUUUCCAUGGGAAGAGACAAGAAGCAAUGGAAGGAAGGAAAAGCAGGUGAGAGGGAGGCGUGCAGACAGGAUUUUGACAGGUGCUAUGCCUUAAAGAAAAAAGAAUACAUCAGUACCCAAAUUUGGUGCAGUUUAUUGAUACAGUUGAGGCUUAUUCAAGGAUCUGAUGUAGUCCUGAGUCAGACCAAGCCAGAUCCUUCAUCGAAGCACCUCGGGUUUGUCCUGUCUGUACAGUGUACACAGCACUUCCAGAUACAUCCUCAUUGGACUCUCAUCAUUACCCCCAGAAGCAGAAUGUGGCAGCUAUCAAGAUUCCCUUUUAAAGAUGAAAUUUAGUGCCAUGGGUCUCCAAUCUUUUAUUCCACCUGGGAGAGGGCAAAGAGGCACUUCUAAAUUUUGUGGCAGGGGCAAAAACCAAGGGGAGAAGUUGGCAUUAAGCACGUACAACAUCUUUUCUCUCUAAUGACCUGGAAACAUUCAAAAAAGUAAGUAGAUAUAUUUCAAAGGAAAAAUUCUCCCUUUAGGGUAAUAUUGAUCAUUU